GACAAGAAGAAUACAAGAAAAAGAACUGUAAAAUAUUGCCCAAGACAGGGUUGGUUACCUCAGAUGCUUUGUCAAGGCAACAGAACGCUAAAAAAGGACCUUCAUUAAACAGAGAGAAGACUGGGGUGUAGAGAGUGAUUUGCCUAAGAUCCAAAAGUAGAUACUUGCAACAGCGUUGAAAACGACAGAUGCUUACAGCCUGCACUAUUCGCCCAUACUAAUCUAUGAAAGGAGGAAUGAGCUGGAGCCAUCCCAACUGCCUUUACUUUUUUGUAAAGAGCUCGGUGCUGUCUAAAUCACAUUGAUGAAGACAACGAAUGACUCCAGGGGUCUCGGAAGGAAUAAGGAGCUACACCAUGAGACCGACUGCUCUUCUUUCCUCCCUUCCCUUUCGUUUUCAGUCCACAUUGUUAAAAGCAAAAACUUAAGUAAAAACUUGU
Myodes glareolus (Bank vole) is the source of this 440-nucleotide non-coding RNA. Lineage: Eukaryota; Metazoa; Chordata; Mammalia; Rodentia; Cricetidae. The record is from RefSeq and is a predicted model, not a curated record.